GACGAACGCUGGCGGCGUGCUUAACACAUGCAAGUCGAACGGAAAGGCCCUGCUUUUGUGGGGUGCUCGAGUGGCGAACGGGUGAGUAACACGUGAGUAACCUGCCCUUGACUUUGGGAUAACUUCAGGAAACUGGGGCUAAUACCGGAUAGGAGCUCCUGCUGCAUGGUGGGGGUUGGAAAGUUUCGGCGGUUGGGGAUGGACUCGCGGCUUAUCAGCUUGUUGGUGGGGUAGUGGCUUACCAAGGCUUUGACGGGUAGCCGGCCUGGGAGGGUGACCGGCCACAUUGGGACUGAGAGACGGCCCAGACUCCUACGGGAGGCAGCAGUGGGGAAUAUUGCACAGUGGGCGGAAGCCUGAUGCAGCAGCGCCGCGUGCGGGAUGACGGCCUUCGGGUUGUAAACCGCUUUCGCCUGUGACGAAGCGUGAGUGACGGUAAUGGGUAAAGAAGCACCGGCUAACUACGUG
Molecule: ribosomal RNA, 468 nt
Filed under: uncultured bacterium
Lineage: Bacteria
Description: partial 16S ribosomal RNA
Rfam family: Bacterial small subunit ribosomal RNA
Source: RNAcentral